Molecule: long non-coding RNA, 2278 nt
Organism: Mus pahari (shrew mouse)
Lineage: Eukaryota; Metazoa; Chordata; Mammalia; Rodentia; Muridae
Exons: 4
Source: RefSeq, a predicted model, not a curated record
GUCCUGACUUCCUUUGACGAUGAACAGAGAUGUGGAAAUAUCUAGGUGAGCUCUGCUCCUCAGAGGUCCAGGCAGCCUCCCUUGCCCGGGUCCCUCCUCUCCAGGCUUAUUAUUGGCUGAGGAAUUGGUGCCCUGACAGAGAAGACCAGAGUCCGCUCAACACCAAGUUUAAACUUGACAGCAGUGGCUUUCAAAGUGGGACCCUCUGGGUCUGGGAGGUAGUUGGCACUUCCUGAUCUGGUGUGGCUGUGUAAUUGCAUCUCAGCUGGUGAAGCAAUGGCACAUGAGGCGGACAUGGCUACCAGGUUUGGCCAUUGAACCCUGUGCCCAUGUCACCCUUGGAAGUCACAAGGUAAAGAGCCAGAGCCUUUGUCAGCUAGAAGAAGACACUCUUCUGAAUACUGAAGUCGUGGCUGUGGAUAUGAUGAGAUUCUUCCCUGAGAAGGUUUUUGUUCCAGAAGCUCAACCCUAGGUGGUGAUGUGGAGAGGCAAUGAGGUCACUAAGAGACAGCGCCUCAUGAUGGCUUUGGGUGUGAGACCUGAACCCAAGGACUGUUUCUCUCCAUUGUUUCCGGUUUUCUCAGACGUGGGAUUGUCAUUUGGGAAGAAUUUAGUAGAAAACACUGGGAGAAUAUGGUUGAAUAUGGUUGAAUCCGAAUAGUUGAGUUUGGCAGAAUAAUUGGAUCUACAGAAUGAAGCAAGAAGACUCUGUAUGUGGAGACACUUAAGAAGAAAGUGGUACAGGGGAUGGCUGGGAAGAUGAGAGCUGUCAAACCUGCUUCUUCAUGGGAAUCAGCCUGUGAAACAUCUUCACAGGAAAGCAUAAAGAACUUGGAGGCAUCUAAUAUCCAGCCUAGAGUUGUUGUCUAGACCCCUGUGCUCCUUUGAAGGGGUCAGCACAGCCCUAGGUAGGGAGGGACAGGACAUGCUUCACCAGAUGGUCAUAUGUGAGUUCAGCAGUUGUGGGGCUCAGAGCCAGAGCCAGUGAUGAUGGAAGGCCAUUCCCGCCUUUUGCCUUGGGCUGCCUCCAGGAACUGGCCAGCCUUCGGAGAACUUUAGACUUCUGCUGGGGGUAGAGCAGAAGUUUGAACCAAUUUUAUUUAGAAGGCGCCAGUUGGCAUAUGAUGCAUAACACGCAUCCACUGGUAAAAGAAUACUGCAGGGCUCAUCAAAUAAAGUUAGGAGUGGAGUAAACAGGCCUUAAAAGGAAACUUCUGAGGUCAAAAGAGUCACCCGGUGUACCUCAGGUCACAGUAUGAACACUGGGCUGAGCUCUGUUCUUAGCUUCUCUGGCUCUCGGGGCUUUUGCCUGGGGUGAGGAACAACAGCUGCUCUGGCGGAGGCUGGGUGGUGGCUCCUCACCCAUUGUCCUCUGGCACCAGGCGCUCAGGAGCAGCCCCACCCUGUAGCUUCUUCAGGGCCCUAUGGCUACCUCAUUGACAGACUCUGUCAGUGCUCUGAGCUCACAGAGAUGUAUGUGGGAGAGAGAUUUUGUGCAGUAAGGGAAAACGUGUGAGACGUGAGUUUGUUAAGAACCUCGUCAGUUGCCAUAAAGAUGUCAUAAAGACACAUCAGAUGCUGUGUUAAUACAAAAAGCAUGUUGUUUAUCUGGGAGCAGAAGGUUUUCUUCAUUCCCAAAAAAGAUGUAAACCCCAAACCAGGAAAAAUGAACAAAAAUAGGGUAGCAGUGGACCAGCUGUGCAGCCAUGGUGGGUCAGGUUGGCAUGCCUGGCCUCCUAAUUUCCUUCCAGAUAUGGAUUGGUGUUGCUAUGCUGAGUGGGGCAGGAGGUUUCCUGAGUACAAAGCGCCAACAUGCCAACUCUGAGAUAAAAAGUUGUAAAUAGACCUUGAGCCUGUCCCAGAGCCAGGCUCAGUGUCCUUGGGCUGGUCAUACUUAUAAGCCAGGUCCCAGGUGGGGGUGGGAUGAACAGCUGCCGUGGAAAGUUCCAUGAGCUGUCCACCAGCUCUGGGGAAGCUCUGGUGUUCCCCACAGCAUGGGGAGAACAUGGCUUAUGAAAGAGGCACAGACAUGGUCCCAGCUCAUAAGGAACAGGGCCCCUGGAGAGAGGACAUGGGGGCGCUUGCCAAGAAAGCAAGGGACAAGCAGGUUGCAAAACCUUAAACCACAGUUGUCAAUAAGGUCGAGGCAUGAAGCCAUGGCAAAAGUCACCGUCACCUUCCAUGGAUCAGAACCCUGUUUCGUCUCCCUCAGAAUAUGCUGGAAACACAAAUUGAGUAUUAAGCUAAAAGCUGAUCUUUUUUUUUUUAAAUAUUAAUA